GCUUUAUAUCUGAGUUUUAAAUGCUGUGCAAGUGCCUGUGCUUUCUACUGGCUUAUACAGGAGAGCAAAGCUUUCAAAAUAUGUUGCAGGGAUAAACAAAAAUCAGCAUGGUUAAAGGGUGUAUGCUAAUUCCAUUUUAAGUACUUAUAAAAACCUUAUCCAUAAGGCAAACCAACUUCCUUCACGCAGUAGUUACUACCAUUCAACUGAGAAUACAGGCACUUUUACAAAUGGAUUCAAGAGUUAUUUAAUUUCACUUUAACUUCUGUAAGUAACUCUUUAUCCCUUGCUGACAUGCCAUUUUAUUAUUUUAUUAUUUACAGCAGUACUUGUUCAUAAAUCAAAUCCAUACACCUCUUAAGAUAAUAGCAAAACACAAAAAAGCAAAAAAGAAUUUUCCUUUUGAAUCCAAAAAUUCCAAGAAUAUGUGUUUCUACAAAUUAUACUGUUGGUCCCUGGCACAAGCCCUUUCUGACUGGGCACCAGACCCUUAACCCCUGAAGUACAAAUCACUACGGUAUUUCCAUUUAUUUGCACUGCCACAUUCCUGGGACAUUACUGAUCUUGAAGGGAAGCCUGUCACAUUCAGGAAAAUUUAGGGGAAACAAUUGGGAGUUUAAAAGAAUUAGACUCAUUAUAUUUUUGUGACUUAUACUAACUACUUUUACCUUCUAUGUAGCAAACUUGAAUAUAUUUAUUCUAUUUGAUCUCCUUCAAAAAAGUUGGGGUGCUCAAAGUGGUGUAUAUAUUUGGGAUUUUAAAUUUUUUGAAUAAAAAAGACUCCAUAUUUCAUGAGGAAAAGACAUGGUUCCAUUUAGAUUUUGUGCUUCAAAAAAUGUAUUUGCUGAUAUACAAUGGAGCUGUCAUAAGUCAAAGUUAAAUGAGAGGCAGCAUUUGGAUAAUAAAAAAUAUGGUUAAUAAGAAAUGAUCAGCAUGUAAUUUGCUCAGGUCCUCUGGAGAAAUACAGAUAUAAAUUGGAAAUCAGUAUUAAGGGCACUGUACAACACAGUAUUGGUUUGAACUAUACCUCCAAAGGGUUCAAUAGCAGAUGUGGGGGGGAACUAUUUGCAAGCACCUUACACUUCUCUUGGAUAAUUUUUACACAUGAUAUGAACUCAAAUCCUUGCCCAACUCUUCAGUUACUCUGACUAUGCAGUAAUCUUACUUGGCAUGAACAAGGUCUGAUGCUGUCACAGAGAAAAGUACAAUUUUACAGCGGGAAGCAGCAUCAGAAACCAACUUGUCCAGCACAUUGUUAUUCAGCCCAGAGAAAUUAAGUUCUUUGCCUAAAGUCCUAAAAUAGUAAUGAAGUCUUUUCAUUUUGGGUUCUAGGCUCUAUAUCAACUUCACCAGCAUAUAUGGAUACUGGGGAAUAAUUGUGGGACAGUAAAGGCUGGCUGCACCAUGCAAUAAAAAUCAAUGAAGCAAGAUGCUGGUUGAUUUGUGGUUGUGGCUGAUUUACAAAGUCCUUCUCCCUGGUAAUUUACUAGAUCAAGGUAGCUUCUAUAAACCCAACCUGAAUGAAUAUGGAGUAAUACAGGAUUUGAGUUCCUGAGAUCUCCUAGACAUAAAAGAAGGAAGCAAGAUGCAAUAAUCAUUACCUGAUGACAGUCUACACCUUUACUCAAUCACAGACACACACACAAGUCAGACCUAGAACUACAU
RNAcentral lists this long non-coding RNA (1665 nucleotides) under Homo sapiens (human). Its description in RNAcentral is "HSALNT0393492". Lineage: Eukaryota; Metazoa; Chordata; Mammalia; Primates; Hominidae. The record is from RNAcentral.